GAUGAACGCUGGCGGCGUGCCUAAUACAUGCAAGUCGAACGAAACUUCUUUAUCACCGAGUGCUUGCACUCACCGAUAAAGAGUUGAGUGGUGAACGGGUGAGUAACACGUGGGCAACCUGCCCAAAAGAGGGGGAUAACACUUGGAAACAGGUGCUAAUACCGCAUAACCAUAGUUACCGCAUGGUAACUAUGUAAAAGGUGGCUAUACUACCGCUUUUGGAUGGGCCCGCGGCGCAUUAGCUAGUUGGUAGGGUAAAGGCUUACCAAGGCAAUGAUGCGUAGCCGAAUUGAGAGGUUGAUCGGCCACAUUGGGACUGAGACACGGCCCAAACUCCUACGGGAGGCAGCAGUAGGGAAUCUUCCACAAUGGGCGAAAGCCUGAUGGAGCAACGCCGCGUGGGUGAAGAAGGUCUUCGGAUCGUAAAACCCUGUUGUUAGAGAAGAAAGUGCGUGAGAGUAACUGUUCACGUUUCGACGGUAUCUAACCAGAAAGCCACGGCUAACUACGUG
RNAcentral lists this ribosomal RNA (512 nucleotides) under uncultured bacterium. RNAcentral describes it as "partial 16S ribosomal RNA". It matches the Rfam family "Bacterial small subunit ribosomal RNA", at positions 28 to 507 of the family's 1533-position model. The record is from RNAcentral.